UCCAUUUAUUAAUUGAUAAAAAGGAAAGAUCCAGCUUGUGCUACAGACAAUCCCAAGAGAAAGAACAAAAACAUAAAGUGUAAAGAAACAGACACAGACAACUAAAAAGAAAAAAUCUAUACACAUAAAAAUAGCUGGAGAAAGCUCACGCCUCCCUUCAUCUUCCAAAUCAAUUCCGUGAAUCUCCGGCUAACUUUACCCCGAUUGUCGGCGUCGAAGCAUGGAUCCAAGAGCUUGGGCGAGAAUCACUUUUGUUGUAACAUGUCUCACUACUUCCAUGAAUUCGACUCCAUUGAAGACUUCUUCUGCUCCCAGUUUGGCAUCAAUCCCAACAAUUCUAGGUAUGCCCCUUCCUUUGUGACCAAAGAGAUUCCAUUUGAGUGUUAUGUUAACCUUUUCCCUGACUCGUGCAGGCUGAGCUCCGUAGAAAUGAUACCACUGCCUCAAAUCAUGGAUUAGAUCAACACAAUACUCUAGGAUUUAAGAUCGAGGUACCCCUAAAAAACAUGUCUUGUUAUAUUUGUUCAGUGAUACCACAUGUUGCGCAUUUGAUCUGGCAGUCCUUGAUAAAUUAUUUUGUCCACUUGUAUUCAUCUCGAUUGUUUGAAAUAUUUGUUUUUCCCCUUCUUGAAUCUGAUAUUUGGUGUUCCUUUCUUGUCCAAUUGUAGUAUAGAUUUAGCCUGUGCUGGUAGUUCCUCGAUGUAAUUAAACUGGAUACACUCUGCAGCUGCAAAAUUAACAACUAAAUUAGCUAAGAAAUCUGUCAGCGAGUUCCCUUCUCUAAAAGUAUGAACCACAGUUACUUGUUUAUUGACCAUAACUUCUUUGAUCUCCCUAAUGUCUGCUGAUAUGAUCCAUGGAACUUCCUAAUUCCCAUCCAAGGUCUUCUUAAUAAUUAAGGAAUCUGUCUCCAUUAUCAAAGGUAAAAGAUUAUGGCUUAAGCAAUACAAUAAACCAUCUUUAAAACCUUUAACUCAGCCUCUAAUGAUGAACAAAACUCCAACUUGCUAGCUCUAGCAUAUACCAAAUCUCCUUGACCAUCUCUUAUACAAAAUGACUUGGAACAUAGGCCAUAAUUGACUUGACAGGAACCAUCAGAGUUGCAUUUGUAUCUUCCUCCCUCAGGACACUUCCACCUUAUCACUGUGGUGCUUAUUAGAGGUGAAUAACUUUCCAGAAAUUGUACAAUAUAUGGCCAGGUGUUAGGUAUUUCUGCCAACCAAGGGUACCUUGCUCUUGCCAUGAAAUAUACAUUUCUAUUGAUCUCCAACACCAUAGCAUUUCUAGUCAUAUUUCCCCAUGAGCUAUCAUGUUUCUCCUUUUCCACAAUUGUCAAAUGAUAAAAGAUGGCAUGGCUCUACACAAAGGUUUUAAUUUUGCUGCACAGUCCUCUGUCCACCAUUUGUAGAUUGUCUGUCUCAUCUGAUUGAAUGGUCCUUGCAUGCCCAUAGCUGCUGCAAACAAAUUCCAUAAAUACUUAGCAUCCGUACAUGAUAUAAAUAGGUGAUUAAAUGAUUCAUGUUCAUGACUGUUACAACAACAACACUCAAUGGAAUUUGCUAUCCUGCACCUAACUAGGACUUCCCCUAUUGGAAUCCUCUUAAACCAAAUUCUCCACAUCAGAAAAGAUAUCUUGAAAGGUAAGCCCUUCUCCCAUAUAAACAAUAUAUCUUUUUGAGGAUCCUUCCUACUUCUGAUAAUAUCCCAUGCACUCUUAACAGAAAAAUUUCAUUUACUGUUUGGCAUCCACCAUUGCUUGUCCCUCUCUUCUACAUGUUGAGUAUGACCCAAAAUAGAGUUAACAUGAUCGCAAAUGUCUUUUCCCAAUAGUUCUGUCAUUAGGUUAAUAUUCCAUUUUCCAUCCAAUCUAAGUUGAUUGACCUCUUCCAGAUUUUCAUUAGCAACUUGAUCAAUAGGCAUAAUAUAGUGUAGAGCUCCAAGUUGUGUCCAAUUGUCAUACCAUAAGCUAGCAUGACCACAUCUAGGUUCCCACCAUAUUUCUUGAUCAAAGUUAUCUCUGGCCAGUAACAUUAGCUUCCAAACUUGAGACACACCCCUCCAUUCCACCACUUGAGGUAUAUUCCUCUUGCAGUACUUAUUCCACAUAAAUUGGGACCAUAGUGAAUUUGUUGUUCUAAACAUCCACCAUAGUUUUGCAAACACAGUUUUGGACACAUCAAACAGAGAUCUGAAACCAAGACCCCCUUCCUCUUUAGGCAGACAAAUAUCAUCCCAGGCUAUCCAGUGCUUUGCCCUACUAUUUUCUUUGAAGUUCCAAAGAAAUUUUGCAAACAUUCUAUGGAGGUCCUUUAUUACACAUUUUGGGAGCACCAACACAGAUAACAAGUAUACAGGAAUACUUUGCAACACAUGAUUGAUAAGUACCGCCUUACCACCAAAGGACAAGAGCUUACCUUUCCAGACUUGCAACUUAUUUUGAACUUUUUUAAUCAACUCAUUAAAAUGAGAUUUCUUCAUCUUUGCAUGACUAAUAGGGCAUCCUAAAUAAAUUAUAGGGAAAUCACCUCUCACAAAUCCAGUAGCCUCCUCAACUUCAUUUAUAAGAGCAUUACCAGCCGUUUUAAACAUGUAGAAGUAGCUCUUAUCUCUAUUGAUCUUUUGCCCUGAUUGGUUUUCAUACUCCUUCAAGGUAUUCAUAAUAAGAUCAAUGGAUUUCUUCUCAGCAGCAGCAAAUAUGAUUGUAUCAUCAGCAUAAGCAAGAUGAUUUAACUUCUCACUCCACUUUGGCAUCCCAUAUCCUUUGAAGUCAGUGUUAUAGAACAACUGGUUUAGUGCUCUGGUGAGCACUUCUGCAGUGAUAAUAAAUAAAGCAGGUGAUAAAGGAUCCCCUGCUUCACCCCUCUAGAGGAAUGAAAAAAACCAUGUGCAUGGCCAUUGAUUAGUAUAGAAUACCAGUUGUUGGCUAUUAGUCUCCAGAUCAUGUCAACCACCACUGAGUUAAAACCCAUACAUUAAAGUACUUUCACUAAGAAACUCCAAUUCACCCUAUCAUAAGCUUUAGCCAUGUCUAGUUUCAUCACAACAUUGGCUGGUUUUCCUCUUUUCCUGAUAUCUGUGAGCUAGUAGUACAUUUUCUGAUAUGCUUCUACCAUUCACAAAUCCAGACUGAUUCACAGAAUUAUUCUUGGUAAUAAGCCUUCUAGUCUAUCAUGUAAUGUUUUAGAGAUCACCUUAUUUAUAAAAUUACUUAAACUAAUUGGUCUUAAGUUUGAGAAGGUUUGAAUGGACUCUUUCUUAGGCAACAAAACCAAAUUAGUGUGAGUAAUAGAUUUAGGAAGGGUAUUUCCCUGGAAAAAUGAUUGAACAAUACCCACAAUAUCUUCGCCAACUAUCUCCCAACAAGCCUAAAAGAAGUGUCAUGUAAAACCAUCUGGGCCACAUAUACUCUCCCCAUUAAGCUCAAAGACCAUUUUUUUUAUCUCACUAUACUCAGGAAUUGUCUGUAAUAACUCAUUAUCUUCUGUAGUCACAAGAGGCUGAAUGCUCUGUAAGAGGGAGAAGUCACUUUGUAAGUUGGUUCCAGAAAAUUGGUUCUGAAUGAAACGUAUUGCUUCAGUUGCCACUUCAUCCUCUCAUUGAGCCUAUAGACCAUCAACUUUCAUUAUUCUCUGUAUAUUUAGCCUCCUCUUCCUUCCCCUGAACAAUCCAUGAAAAUACUUAGUGUUCUUAUCUCCCUCUGAAUGCCACUGAACGCUUGCCUUCUGCCUCCAAAACUCCUCCUCAUAGUGUAUAUACAUCUUAUAUUCAGCAUGAGCUUGCUGUAGAAUAGCCCUGUUAGAUGAUGUAGGAUUUUUUUCAUAGAGAUCUUCUUUCAUCCUAACUAUUUCUUCUCUGAUAUGCAGUUGUUUGAAGAUAUCACCAAAUUGUUCUCUGCUACAUUUGGAUAGAGCCACUUUUGUUCUUUUUAAUCUUAACUUCCAUUGUAAAAAAACAUCAUCAUAGUGAUCUUUAUUCCAGCUAGCCUUCACCACAUCUUUAAAGUCUGCCCUGUCAGUCCAAAAUUUUAAAAACCUGAAUGGUUUUAUAAAAUUCUGAUUCUGACCUCCACAUUUUAAUAAUAAAGGUGCAUGAUCAGAUCCAGUCCUUGCUAAGUGUUGUAGUUCCAUGUUGCCAUGUAGAUCCUGUAGCUUCUGAUUAAUCAACAAUCUAUCCAAUCUUUUAAAUGUACAUUCUGAAUCAGCUCGUCCAUUCCACCAAGUAAAUGGACUACCAGAGAAACUUAUAUCAAACAAUUCACAAGAAUUGAUACAGAAGGCAAAAUUCUCAUAUUCUUGGAUAUAAACAGGAAGACCUCCUAUCUUUUCAUCUUCCCCCAGAAUUACAUUAAAAUCUCCCCCUACCAACCAAGGCUCUGAAUAAUAAUCAUUAAUGAAAUACAAGUCAUUCCAAAGUUUUAUCCUCUCCUCUGUUGUACAUUUGGCAUAUAUCAAAGUAGUAAGCAAUUGUUUUCCAUAUUCCAACGUGAGUUGAAGGGUGAUUUGCUGCUCUGUAUCUGAGAUCACCCCUACCUGAAUAUGAUCCUUUAUAAAUACCCAAAUCUUUCCAUUUGAGUUAUAACCUCCUUUUAAAAAUUUGUAUUUGUCUAGUAUCUUGAAAUGGUUCCAUCAAAGCAAUUAAGAAGAAUUUGUGGUGUCUGUGUAACAUUUGAACUCUGUGAAAUGCAUUUUGAGUCCUCAUAGACCUUAUGUUCCAAAUGAGUGCUUUCAUUAUCAUCUAAUUGAUGAUUUUACCACCCUCUUGGCUUGUAUUCUUGUUGGUUGAACAUCAUCCUCCUUUUUAGUUUUACCUUUUUUGCAUUUCAAUAAAACUAAAGGAGAGAUUACAGCCUCUCUACAUACCUCCAUUGCAUUUUGAUCACUAUUCACUUCAUCUGUGUCUUCUAUGAAUGAACUGGCAGCCUUGAUCUCCACCACCAUAUCCUCUUGACUUUGAUGUGAUAUUAGUGUGUGGAGUUUCUCCAUAAGGGCUGAUUUUACACUACAACUCAUAAUUGCUGACCUAUUAUCUUUCUCUGGUGUUGGUAUAACAGGAACUACAACUACUGCACAAGAAAGACUUUCUUCAACCAAUGGAACUACAAUUUGGAGGGGAAUCUGGCAAUCUGCCUCAGCUAACUCUUUCAAGAGUAAGCUGUCAGCCUCUUCUUUCUGUUUUUCCUCCACUGCAGCAACAAUCUGGGAAUCCUGUUUAUUCAUUUGAUUGAGACUGAUAUCUUCUAUAUUUUGCUUUGUAGGUACAAUUAUCAGCUGCCUCUCUCCUUCUCCCAGCACUACAUCAAUCAUCCCUUGUGCCUGUUGACCAUUAUGCACCAAUUGUUCCUCCAUUAGUUCCCCACUAUGCCGUGUUGCUAUUUUUUCUGUAUUGUCCUGCUCAGUGGUUCUAUUGAUGCUACAUGUGUCUCCAUAUCCCUUUACUUGAUAAUUUGCAAAUGCAUUAGUUAUCCAUUCCUUUGUCAAUGAGUGAUGAUGAACCUUGUUAGCUUCCCUUUGACUCUUGACUUCACUUGUUUUAUCAUUACUAUAAUUUGUCCCUGUAGAUUCCUCUGGAUGCACCUCUUCUUUCUUCUCGGCCAGUGCAGCAAAAGCAUUAUCAAUAUUAAUGCCCUUUUCUAUCAUUUUUUGUACUCCAAUUUAUUGCUCACCCUACUUAUCUCGUGACUCUUGUAUGUUGAUGGGUUUCCAAUAUCUUCGAACAACUCGUCUCCUUCUUGUUGCAUGUUCAUUGCCCUGCUCUUCAUUGUUGUUAUCGGUUGUCCCCUGUUUUGUCCCCUUUGCAUUGUGUACCUCUGUUUGCCUUAGUUCAGGAUGGAGGCUUCUACAUGUUUCAUCCUCAUGACCUUGCACUUUACAUUGUUUGCAAUAUUUGGGCAGCAUAUCAUAUUGGAUCUUAACUUUUUCCUUCCUAGACUCAUUUGUCUUUUUGUUUAUAAUCUCCAUCUCUACAUGCUUAGGAAACUCACUUAACAAGUCCACUUGCACCUUGACCCUCGCACAACUAGGUCUAGUUUUAUUGAUUGUUGCCAUGUCUAACUGAAGAGGUUUUCCAACUACAGGUGCUAAUGAAAACAAGGCUUCCUUCACAAAAUAUGUGGGUUUUAAAUCCGAGAAGGAUAUCCAUGCCAUAGCUUGUGUCGUCUCUUCUUCAACCUUAAACUUAGCAUCAUAUAUAAGUGGCCUCAUAGUAUAUGAAUAACCGUCCUUGGCCAGAAUAUAAUAUAUGCCUUUUGACAUUAAGUUUAUGAAGUCUUCUUGUUGAUCCAAUCUAAUCAGAACAUGCCUAUUUCUCAAUAGGCCUAUUUUACACUCUCCUUUGAUAUUACACUGUCGUGGGAUACUUGUGCGGAGUUCUUCCAACUCCGGCCAACCAUAGGAAAAUUUUCCAACCACGACGUAUUGAAGAUCUUCCAAACUAUUCAUCCUAUCAACUUCCUCUUCUGUCCACACAAUCCUUGGAAUCCCAUUAUUGUAUUGGAGUUGUUUCAAUGGAAUAGGCUCAAUUCCAGCCUUUUGGGCUUGAUUGUUGAUAUGAUUCUUAAGGACAUUAGCAUAAUUGUUAAUUACAUGAGUAUCGUGAGUCGCCAACCCAGGCGCGAUAAGCAGAUUUAAACAAGAAUUUUGUAUUAGAG
This 6646-nucleotide long non-coding RNA is filed under the name Solanum tuberosum (potato). RNAcentral's name for it is "long non-coding RNA (STUB_LNC005645)". The record is from RNAcentral. Lineage: Eukaryota; Viridiplantae; Streptophyta; Magnoliopsida; Solanales; Solanaceae.